AUAAUUUCUUGGUCCCCUCUUCUUACAAUGCAUCUCCUAGGCCUCUUUUCACAAAUUCCAGAGCCGUCUCCAUGGGUUACUGCUUCGCUUCUACUCGACACAGGUAACCGAUCCAAAAAUUCAAGCUCUUCAGAGUCCCACUAUAUGUGUUAUCUUGUUGCUAUUGCUCUUCCUGGAAGCUAGAUUCUGUUUUAUCUUCUCCCUUUUAAUCCAAUUUUCCCGAAUUCUUUGAACGUCUUUGGUAGUGUUUUCAAAGAUUUCAGGAUUUCUAUGCAAGAUUGAGACAGCCAUUCGUAGAUUCAUUGAUUUCUGUGUUCAUCUGUCUUUCUACAGUACAUUUUAAAUUGCUCAUGUGAAUCUUGAGUAAGAACCAUGGUAGAUCUCUAAAGCUGUGUCUGUUACUUUUGGCUGUCUUCAUGCUUCCUAGCCCCUAUAUUGAAACUUUAGCUGUUAAAAAUAAUUUCUUGAUUAACAAAAUUUGGUCAAUUGUGCUAUUCUCCAGUCCCAUUUUCCAAAUAACCUCCAACUUGCAUACCAUUUGUUUGUUUGUUUGCUGACUACUUAGAAUGUUCCUUAUUUUUUUCUUUCCUUCUUUCUUCUUCUUCUUCUUUUUAUUUGUGUGUGCAUAGGGAAUGAUUUUAUGUAAAAGGUUAUGAACUAUAUAAAUCUGAUAUUAGGAUGGUGGCAUGAACCAGUGGAUCACAUAAAUCCAGAUCAGGCUUGUUGGUGGAGCAAUAGUAACAGCUAGAUUAAUUACUUUCUCGAGGUGCAUUUGGAUGUUUUGCAGGGUCAUGGGGCUUUGUGCUUUUGCGUAUAUCUUAAUAUUACAAUAUAAGUUUUUGCACAACUUUGUGUUUGGUUAUGUAUUAAAAAUUCAUAAAACACCUAAAAUUGCUAUAUCGGGGGUUUUUGUUUUGAUUAGAAUCUUUCCAUGUUGAUGAAUUUCCCCUCCCUAUCAUUUUAUGUUCCUCUAUCCUGUACCUCUAGUUCAUCCUCAGCUGGGGUCCAUCCCAAACAAAAGCCAAUGCAAAACUUGGUUAUAAUCUAACGCAUAUACUGGUUUCUUGCAAUUAAACUUGCAUUCGAUUGAAACAAUUUUCUCAAUCACAAUGACAAUGGGAAAUUGACCGUUCAUGAUAAAUAAAAUUUCUACCUUCUAGUUGAAAGUGUUUCAUAUAGGUGGUUAUUCAUGAGGUAGUGACACUCUGGUACAGAGCACCUGAAAUCCUACUUGGAUCUCAGCAUUACUCCAUGCCUGUUGAUGUGUGGUCAGUUGCAUUGUUGCUGAAAUGGUGAAUCAGAAACCAUUUUUCCCAGAAGAUUCCGAGAUUGAUGAAUUGUUUAAAAUAUUCAGGUGUCUUUAUUAAAUUCAUGCUUAUUGGCAUAUGUUACUCCUGGUCUAAUACCUAACAGACUGAUUUUUGUUAUUUUUGUUGCAUUAUACUUUUGAAGAGUACUCAACACCCCAAAUGGAGAAACUUGGCCAGGAGUCUUCUUUCCUCAAGUGUCCUCCUAAGUGUGAAAAUUGAUGUUGCUUUCCUAUGCUGACUAAAAUUUCUUCUUCUAACGAGCAUUAUGAAAUCAUAGAAGAUAUGUAUGUUUAGUUUUUAGAGAACAUACAUGUUUGUUGGUCUACCUUGGGGCGUGGGCCAUCUUGUCCUAUGGUCAGAUAUUAUAACAUUUGCAACUUGCAAAAUUGAUUGGAUUGGCCUUUCUAAGUUUUAAUCUGCUUCUGCUUUGCAUGCCUAGUAGGAUCUGGCAACAGUGGUCCCAAAUCUCAAACCUGCUAGAAUUGAUCAACCCUCUGUAAGUCAUGCUGUCUUUUGUGAACUGAUAUGAUAAUAUUUCAAGGAAACUAACUGACACAUAAAUACAAGCAGAAGUUGUGUUUGCCAUUUGAUAAUUGCCAGCCUUAAAUAUAAGUCAGUUUCUCAGAUGCCAAAGCAUACGAUCACAUCGGAGAAUUCAUGGCAGUCCAAAUGGGGCCAUCGACUUCAAUAGCCCUCAAGUGUAGCAAUUGAACAAGAUUUUUGAGGAGUGCACCACCUUAUUCACUAUAGUAUAAAAUCCUGACCGGAUGGCUAAUAUAGGUGGUUAUGAUACAUGAUAUUUUGAUCAGAUAGGAAAAUAUUGACUGCAGCACUUAGGCCAUCCUUUUGACUUUGUUCUUGUGCAUAAUAAGUGAAUAGUGGGUAUGUAUAAUAUCAAUUUUCGAAUUGCUGUGUUUGUCUUAUGGAUGGUUACAUAGCAGAGACACCAUACACUUGAAAGUGUGGAAAUCAUAUUUAGGCAGACUAUGAUGAUUUGUUGAAUUAUCUAUUGACAAACAAUCUUGUAGGAAGUUGGUGAUGCCGCAUACUGUCUCAAUACUGCACCUAUUAUUUGACAAUUCUUGGC
RNAcentral lists this long non-coding RNA (2397 nucleotides) under Phoenix dactylifera (date palm). Its description in RNAcentral is "long non-coding RNA (PDAC_LNC006177)". The record is from RNAcentral. Lineage: Eukaryota; Viridiplantae; Streptophyta; Magnoliopsida; Arecales; Arecaceae.